GCUGGGUGGUGUGGUGCACACCUGUAAUCCCAAUGGCUCGGAGGUUGAGAUAGGAGAAUUUCGAGUUCAAAGCCAGCCUCAGCAAUGGCGAGGCGCUAAGCAACUCAGUGAGACCCUGUCUCUG
This 124-nucleotide small RNA is filed under the name Marmota monax (woodchuck). Lineage: Eukaryota; Metazoa; Chordata; Mammalia; Rodentia; Sciuridae. The record is from RNAcentral.